Molecule: non-coding RNA, 3503 nt
Organism: Camellia sinensis
Lineage: Eukaryota; Viridiplantae; Streptophyta; Magnoliopsida; Ericales; Theaceae
Source: RefSeq, a predicted model, not a curated record
AACUCUUGAGCCCUAGUAUCAAUCUAAAAAAAACCAUACCCUUCCAUAUACUAGUAUCUCUGUAGUGUCUCUCUCUUCGUCACUUUACUCUGUAAUGCUCUGUUUCUUCUCCACCCCACAGCUUUUCACUGUUGCCAUUGCGCCACCGUGACCACCAGUGAGCCACCUGCAUCGUCUUCACCUCCGUGCUUCUGCUAUCAGGGCCGCUACUUUUGCCAAAGUUGAAACCACAUCAGUUUUUCCAGAUGGAUGAUUACGAAAUUUAUUCUGAGAUUGAAGAAUAAGGAUAGCAAAUUUAUGCAUGUGUCUUCCUUCAAGGAUAACCAGCUUCUUUCCCCCCUGGUUAUUUUGGCAUCAUGGACAGGAAGGUAUGAAGCUCAUUUGUGGGACAAGAAUUGCUGGAAUGAAUCACAAAACAAGAAAGGAAGACAAGUCUAUCUUGGUGCCUAUGAUGAUGAAGAAGCUGCUGCUCAAAGACAAACAGCCUCUCUACUGGUGGUUUGAAUGCGAUGACGUGACUAUGUAGUUUCUAACAAGCUUGUGUUAAUUAGAUUAAAUGGAAUUAAAUCACAAGCUAUCUGCAGUUUCUGUACUAAAUUGAGUGAUACUGUCUCAAGUGAAAUAGGAAAAGCAUAUGGAAAAACAACGUAUCUAGUCACGAGUCACGACAUUUAAGAUAGUUCCAAGGGGAACCGAAGGAGCUGUUAGUGUUGAGGGAACCGUUGCUGGACUUUUAGCAUCAAAGAUAGUUCCAAGGGGAACCGAAGGAGCUGUUAGUGUUGAGGGAACCGUUGCUGGACUUUUAGCAUCAAUUCUCCUUUCUUUCGUUGGUUAUCUGAUGGGUGAGAUAAAUGGACCCGAGGCUGUGAUUUGUGUUGUAGCUUCCUAGAUUGCUAAUCUUGGUGAAAGCGUGAUAGGUGCUUCCCUCCAAGAGGUAGAAGGAUUCUGAUGGGUAGGUGACCAACACAAAUUAUCAUUUCAAUUCUUUACUUUUUAUUGCGUCAUCAUAUGUUUUUUAGAUUUUUACACAACUCAGAUUCAACUGAAUGAAGACUAUAAACUACUAGGGAUUAGUUUAAUGAAUCCUUUAACACCAUUUUACUCAGUCUACAAUCACUUUCUUGACCUUUGAGAUUACGAACGUUUUACUCUAGUGUACAUUAGUUGUGUACCUAUCACAAGCUCCCUUUUCUUAGGCAUUUGAACCUUCGUAUGAAAGAUGAGGCUCUAACUUGUAACUAUGUUGAGUUUUUGUUUGAGAUAGCGAGUUGGUUGAGAAAGCAACUUUAGAAUGGGCAUUGGAAAAUUUAUUUAGUUUUUUGGAUGGGGAGGAACCCAUGGUUUAGCAAACCUUGAUGGAACCUCUAAUCUACCAUAAACCUCCCUCAGUCACCAUAAUCUCCACAGACCACGCACUUUAGUUAAGUCAUAGGGCUUAUGCCCUAUUGUAGGUGGCUCCAUGACUUGAAUAGGGGACCUUGGGCCUUUGGUGUCUCCCAAAGCCUAACCUGUCGAGCUAACCAUUGGGGUUGGAAUUGGGAAAACCACUUCCUUCUUCAAACCAAUAUUUUUAGUGUCACGCUUAGUUUUUUUGGAGUAAAGAGAAUACUGUGAAGACAGAUUGCUACUCUGGAUUUUAGGAGUUGAGAAAGGCUUGUUGCCACAAGUGCAUUAUACCUGCUACUAUCUGAACAGAUGCAUGCAUUGGCUUAUUCCACACUAGCUGUUCCCUUCAAACAUCUAAUCUACACAUUAGGCAUACUUCAAAUGGAACAAUUAACAUCAGACAGUGAUGGCCCGAUAAGGGCAGGCCAGUUAAGGAUGCACUGGAGUGUUGUUUGAUGCGACUAUAAUUGGUAUAGUUUGGAGGUAAUAUUGGGCUACCCACAUUUCAAUGCAUUAGUUAGGUGGAGAUUCAAAAUUGUGUUGUGCUUUAUUAGGGUGGAAGACCACGUGUUGCAGACUUCGUUCAUGGUGCUGAUGGAUUAGGGAACAUUUCCUUACCUCCUCCAAAAUCCAAGAAAAUUGAGAAGACGACAUCAGAAUUUUUGGUGGAUAUGGUUUCUAAAUAUCCUGGUGAAGUAUCCAUACUUGCGCUGGGACCAUUGGCGAAUUUUGCUUCAGCAAUGAAAAGGGACUCAUCCUUUGCAAGCAAGGUUAAGAGAGUAGUUAUUCUUGGUGGAUCUUUCUUUGCAUUGGGGAAUGUCAAUCCUGCUGCUGAAGCAAAUUCCUUGGGAGUUGAGGCUUACACAUCAUGGCAAGGAUUACACCUCAAGCUCUGCUACAACAAAGCAAGAAGAAGAAGGGUCCAAGUCGUAUCGGUGCCACUACAGUUAUUUUAUACAGCUUAAUUAUAGUUGUGAUGGUGUUUUUCCUGUUUUCUACUUAUAUUGGACUCAAGUCUGUUGCAGUGGUAUCUACAUUUGUUUAGUAUCAAAAUAGAACCACAGAAAAUCCAACAAUUGGAUUGAUGUUUCUUGUUGUGGCCGCUUUGGUUGCUGAAGCAGAGCUUGCAGAAGAAACUGAACAACUCCAAGAGGGUGUUGUGGAAAGUGGUGUUGUUGUUACCCCAACUAAGACCAAAAAAGGCAAAGCUGCAUUGCCUCUAAAAAGUGACACAGCUUGAAAGGGAAAAUGGGGUCGGGGCAUGUGGGAAGUCACUCCAGAAAUGGAGGCUUUGAAAUUGGCCCCUUGUGCAAUGGCAGCACAGGAUGAGAAAUCUGAUGUCCCUGACAACAUCUGCCAGCAGGUGAAGAAGUUAGGGCAGAACCCUGCUGCCUUUGUGCUGUUAUGCUUUCUGACACUGCCAAGUUUCUUUCAAAUCUGUUAGUUUCGUUCAGACACCUGAUUUCCACUCUGAUUUGGCGUGCCUUGCAAGUCCUACAUUGAGGAUGGGAUUAUUUUUCAUGAACAACCUUUGUUUUAUGAGGAGCCUGAUGUGCAUGAAAAUAUGCGUCUUGAUGUAGACGAUGUCUUAAGAGGAGUUGUUGGCCCUGGAGGAUCAAAUUGGAAAUGUGAGCACUGGAUUGAGUGAGGAAGCUAUUUUGGCAACUGUGAGGCGGCAUUGUUAUCUGUCAAUGAAAUUAGGACUUCCAGUGGAAGAGGAACCGUGCUGUAUUUGUCAGGAGGAUUAUGUUGAUGGAAAGGAGCUUGGUAAGCUAAAUUGUGGGCAUGAGUUUCGCUUCAAUUGCAUCAAACAAUGGCUCGUGCAGAAGAAUAACUGUCCCAUUUGCAAAAUGACUGCAGUGGUUGUUUGAGAGAUGAUCAGUUUCAGGGAACUCUUAUCCCAAAUCAGAGAUCAUUUGCGAAUCAGUUGUCCCUGUAAACUUCUCUCCGGUCCCUUUGCCAUCUGAACUUAAACCAUAGGCUUGCCGUUUCCUUUUGUUUGUUUCUUCUUUUUUUUCCUUUUCAUUUCAGUCAUGUGCAAGUUCAAAUUUGAGCUAAUAUGUGUUCUUUUAUAUGAAUUCUCAGUUAAUUCUUUAUCUCUCUAGUUAAAUUUUCCA